Molecule: long non-coding RNA, 498 nt
Organism: Gordionus sp. m RMFG-2023
Lineage: Eukaryota; Metazoa; Nematomorpha; Gordioida; Chordodea; Parachordodidae
Exons: 3
Source: RefSeq, a predicted model, not a curated record
AAUCGAAUUAUUUAAAAGAAAAAUAUGAUGUUAUAUUAUUUGCAACAAGAAAAGGAUUUUAAUAUAUCUAGCGGUUCAUAUGUAGCUGAUUCAAAAAAAUACCUUUAGAUGGUAGAAAGGUUUGGACAUCUACUCAAAUUUCGAAGCAUACAUCAAGGAAUAGUUUAUAACAGAUGGUAUUAAAAUUAGUCAAAAAUAUUAGUAUUGAGAUGUCAAAACGUUAAAACUUGAAGCCUUCGUAGAUUGUUGGAAAUUAUUUAUUAUGAUCUUGCCUAUCACCACAUAAAUGAUGCAUUGCGAUGGGGUAAGCACCUUAGCUAUUUUUUUUACCGCCUUGUCAAAUUUUGAUAAAGCUUUAUGAAGAACGAAAAAUUUUAAUCAUUGAAUAUUUUAUUUUUUUUUAAUUUUUCGUAUUAAAUUUAUAUUUCCAUUUGCAUGCCAUUUAUUUGAGUACACAUUUGACUUCUAUUUAUUUUUUUUACCUUUAAUAAUUAAAUG